AAGAGGGAACCCGGUGGGAAUCCGGGACUGCCCCGCAGCGGUGAGUGGGAACGAAAGCCGUCAUGAGCACUGGAGUCAUCCGGGAAGCGACGGCCGGUAGGCAGGUGGCGACGCGAGUCGCCGCCGGUGCCCGCGAGUCCGAAGACCU
This 148-nucleotide non-coding RNA is filed under the name Stackebrandtia nassauensis. Lineage: Bacteria; Bacillati; Actinomycetota; Actinomycetes; Glycomycetales; Glycomycetaceae. The record is from RNAcentral.